This 799-nucleotide ribosomal RNA is filed under the name Acetobacter sp. DmelCS_143. RNAcentral's name for it is "bacterial SSU rRNA". It matches the Rfam family "Bacterial small subunit ribosomal RNA", at positions 65 to 907 of the family's 1533-position model. The record is from RNAcentral. Lineage: Bacteria; Pseudomonadati; Pseudomonadota; Alphaproteobacteria; Acetobacterales; Acetobacteraceae.
CACGAAGGGUUUCGGCCUUAGUGGCGGACGGGUGAGUAACGCGUAGGUAUCUAUCCAUGGGUGGGGGAUAACACUGGGAAACUGGUGCUAAUACCGCAUGACACCUGAGGGUCAAAGGCGUAAGUCGCCUGUGGAGGAGCCUGCGUUUGAUUAGCUAGUUGGUGGGGUAAAGGCCUACCAAGGCGAUGAUCAAUAGCUGGUUUGAGAGGAUGAUCAGCCACACUGGGACUGAGACACGGCCCAGACUCCUACGGGAGGCAGCAGUGGGGAAUAUUGGACAAUGGGGGCAACCCUGAUCCAGCAAUGCCGCGUGUGUGAAGAAGGUCUUCGGAUUGUAAAGCACUUUCGACGGGGACGAUGAUGACGGUACCCGUAGAAGAAGCCCCGGCUAACUUCGUGCCAGCAGCCGCGGUAAUACGAAGGGGGCUAGCGUUGCUCGGAAUGACUGGGCGUAAAGGGCGUGUAGGCGGUUUGUACAGUCAGAUGUGAAAUCCCCGGGCUUAACCUGGGAGCUGCAUUUGAUACGUGCAGACUAGAGUGUGAGAGAGGGUUGUGGAAUUCCCAGUGUAGAGGUGAAAUUCGUAGAUAUUGGGAAGAACACCGGUGGCGAAGGCGGCAACCUGGCUCAUUACUGACGCUGAGGCGCGAAAGCGUGGGGAGCAAACAGGAUUAGAUACCCUGGUAGUCCACGCUGUAAACGAUGUGUGCUAGAUGUUGGGUGACUUAGUCAUUCAGUGUCGCAGUUAACGCGUUAAGCACACCGCCUGGGGAGUACGGCCGCAAGGUUGAAACUCAAAGG